Molecule: long non-coding RNA, 332 nt
Organism: Oncorhynchus keta (chum salmon)
Lineage: Eukaryota; Metazoa; Chordata; Actinopteri; Salmoniformes; Salmonidae
Exons: 3
Source: RefSeq, a predicted model, not a curated record
GAGCUCAGUAAGGUUGUAUCAUGGUUUCUGUAGAGGUUCUGUCUGUAACAGUGUUUGUAGAGAGCUCAGUAAGGUUGUAUCAUGGUUUCUGUAGAGGUUCUGUCUGUAACAGUGUUUGUAGAGAGCUCAGUAAGGUUGUAUCAUGGUUUCUGUAGAGGUUCUGUCUGUAACAGUGUUUGUAGAGAGCUCAGUAAGGUUGUAUCAUGGUUUCUGUAGAGGUUCUGUCUGUAACAGUGUUUGUAGAGAGCUCAGUAAGGUUGUAUCAUGGUUUCUGUAGAGGUUCUGUCUGUAUCAGUGUGUAUAAAUAGGGUUCCACCCACCUGUAAGAGUGA